RNAcentral lists this long non-coding RNA (1518 nucleotides) under Marmota monax (woodchuck). The record is from RNAcentral. Lineage: Eukaryota; Metazoa; Chordata; Mammalia; Rodentia; Sciuridae.
AUACUUUCCAGUUCUUACACUCUGAUAUGCAUCCCUUUUAUUAAAAAAAAAAUGCUAAUAAAAGGCAGUGUACUUAAACUGUGCUUUGCAACUAUUAUGUAUGUUAUGAAUGACUACAGUCACUGGGCAAAUUAUUUGUAGAAUGAUUAUCCUUUAGCUAGAAAAAAGUCAUUGCAAGUCUUGGGCAGAAAUGUUUCUUUUUAAUGUUAAUCAAGGGGAAGUGAUUUGAAUAUGCAUGCAUGUAGCAGUCAGGAUGAUUUAGGUUUUUUUUUUUUUUUUGGUGAGAGAAAAGACUCAAAAGGCAAGACUUAGUUUUUCUCUGGGAAUCUCAACUCAUCUUGAUACUUGUAUGGUACAAGAAAUGUACAUUUUUCACUUCAAAAUUUAAAUGAGUUUUGCCCAAGGAAUCUGAGAAAUAAAACAAAUAAGUUGCUCUAUUUUCAAGUAGUCAUUCAAUAUAAAUAUAUUAUAUCAUUCUUAACUUUUUUAUUCUCUGAUAUGGUUAAUGAUAUGUAUAUUCUUACUUUUUCUCCUAAUGGGCAUAUGUAUCUUUGUGGACACUUUGGAGAGAGGUUUUCUUGGACUCUCCCAUUUAUAGAAUCUUUAUACUCUUUUACUGCGAGGUCCUCUGCUUUUAACAGAUUUCUGAGGCAACUAUAUUUGUGCUUUUUUCUUACGUAGGAAGACCAGCGAAAAUAGUUUACUGAGUUGUCGAUUUUAUCAGUAGAUAAGAAACUUUCUUUAUUACAGUUUCAGGGAAGAUUUUUUCAGGAUAUUUCUCAGUUAUUCUAAGGGCCAAAUUUUAUAAAAUUUCCAUUAGGAAUGUCAGUUUCCAAUACCCUUUGUAUAGCCUACGGCCUGUGGGGAUAACACGAAUGAGCCUUACGUGUCCUAACACAGGAAUUUACAAGUUCCCAAAGCAACCGUCUCCACGUCAUAACUCCUGACAUGCUUUUCUGAGAUUGGGCUUAUUUUAAUUACCGAUUCUUUCUCACUGUUCAUUCUAUUUGAUUUAUUCCACCGAGUCCCCUUUGAUUUGAUGAUCUGAAAAAUUCUGCUCUUUGAUAACAACUCAGGUUUUGGGUUUCCUCCCCCCUUUCUGUGGAGCCUGUGUUUUCCAACCACAAUAAAAGUUAAACCGAAUGUAAGAGACCACACUCUCUUCCAUUUUCCUUACUGCUGGCUUUUUUUCUUGAUUUUAACAUACCUUCAUUGUUUUCCAUUGUAUUUUUUUAACACUACCUAUAUCCAUUAGCUGCCUAAUUAGUUUAUCUAUUCCAUGUGGAUGCAGUGAGUUUAUAAGAGAAUUUCACAAACAAGUAGUUUUUUAGUGAACUUAAAAUAAACAGAAUUUUAAAGGAGACCUAUUUUUAUACUCAAGAAAAGCACAAAAGUGCAGAAAGUAUAAAAUGGCUUACAAAGGGAAACAUAAGUUCAUAAUGUUCAUGUAUAAAAGUAAUAAUUUUAUCGGUAGAGAGAUUCUUUCCAGACCCAGUACCUCUGUCGGUGCACACUAUC